RNAcentral lists this ribosomal RNA (253 nucleotides) under uncultured bacterium. RNAcentral describes it as "partial 16S ribosomal RNA". It matches the Rfam family "Bacterial small subunit ribosomal RNA", at positions 524 to 776 of the family's 1533-position model. The record is from RNAcentral.
UACGAGGGGUGCAAGCGUUAUUCGGAGUUACUGGGCGUAAAGAGUGCGUAGGCGGCUUGUUAAGUUGGCUGUUAAAUUCCUUGGCUCAACUGAGGAUCAGCAGUCAAUACUGGUGAGCUAGAGAGCAAGAGAGAAAGAUGGAAUUCUCGGAGUAGCGGUAAAAUGCGUAGAUCUCGAGAGGAAUAUCGGUUGCGAAGGCGGUCUUUUGGCUUGUAUCUGACGCUAAAGCACGAAAGCGUGGGGAGCAAACAGG